This 253-nucleotide ribosomal RNA is filed under the name uncultured bacterium. Its description in RNAcentral is "partial 16S ribosomal RNA". It matches the Rfam family "Bacterial small subunit ribosomal RNA", at positions 524 to 776 of the family's 1533-position model. The record is from RNAcentral.
UACGGGGGGGGCAAGCGUUGUUCGGAAUUACUGGGCGUAAAGGGCUCGUAGGUGGCCAACUAAGUCGGACGUGAAAUCCCUCGGCUUAACCGGGGAACUGCGUCCGAUACUGGUUGGCUUGAGUUUGGGAGAGGGAUGCGGAAUUCCAGGUGUAGCGGUGAAAUGCGUAGAUAUCUGGAGGAAUACCGGUGGCGAAGGCGGCAUCCUGGACCGACAUUGACGCUGAUGAGCGAAAGCCAGGGGAGCAAACGGG